CUGGCGAGGAGCUAAGCACGUUCAGAGGGCUGACAAUUAAGUUUCCGCAAUACGUAUACAUUUAUUUAAACGGGAACGUCGGAAUCUCUGGAAACGCAGUUUUAAAAUGUAAACCUAUAGGGGCGUUUGCUUGCUUGCUUGCUUGCUUAAGGCCUGCCUCCGUCUCCGCACAGCGUCGCUUUCAGAGCGCCUGGGAGACGGAUGAUGUAGGUCCUACUUCCCGGGUCCGAACUGGCGCCCAGAUGUUUGAGGGAGUCGAUGCCUCAGGAAGAGAUGGAGUUGGGAGGCCGGCGAAGGAGGCUGAGGACAGUCUAGCUCUGCUGCCUGCCUGCCUACCUUGGACUCCGUAUCCGGGAGCUGGGUGGCCUUCCUUCAAAGGGCAGCGCAGCCCAGAAGGAUUUCUGUCAUCACCCCAGCCACCCUGCAACUCUGGUAAGAGAAUUUGCCUGUGACCUGGGAAUUCUACCUAGAAUUGGAGCUGAACUAUCAGCGGGGAUGAUAAAAUACAUUUUCUGUGCAUUCUUUAAAAGGUUUGGAUUAGCUCUUCCUUCCUCCCUUCCUUCCUUUUAUUUUGUCAUGCCCGCAGCAUGUAGAAGUUCUGGGCCAGGGAUCAAACCCAGGCGGCAGCAGUGACCUGAGCCACUGCAGUGACAAGGCCAGAUCCUUAACCUGCUGCACCAAAAGGGAACUCGGUGGAUUAACUUCAAUGAAGAAAAUCAUCUGCAUCCCAACUGCACAGAGAUUUGGGGUUUUUUACUCCUGUCUCUUUCCUGCAUAUUUUUACCUGUGUCUUAAUUCCCCGGUCACUGAACAGUUGAGUACCUUACCCAGGCCAGACCCCGGUGCCAGACGCUGAAGCAAGCAGGGAAAUGACCUGAAGCCUGCCCUUGAGAGUAUCAAACACACAUAUUGCCCAGGGCCCCGGCCAGGCAGGCCCAGAGCCCAGGAAAGCCUGCAGGAGGAAGAGACCCUCAAAGCCUCCCACAGCCAGAUUGUGUGGUCAAGGGUCCUUCGGGGCUGUGAUGGUCCCUUGCCUUCACAGUGAAAGUGUUUGUGUAAAAAUAACUCCUGGGUUCCUUGCAGGGUUUUUCUGGACAUCUGUGCCACAAUUUCUUUCUGCCUUCCAGGGAUUCCUGGUGAGUGUCAGCUUUGCUAGAAUUUCACUGGUGAGUUGCAGGGACUCGCCAUGAAUAUCUGCCUCCCAAGGUAGAGGUUAGAGAAUAGAGAUGCAGGUACACUCUAAAAGGAAGAAAUAAACUUUAGAAAUCCUGUGCCCUAUCA
RNAcentral lists this long non-coding RNA (1281 nucleotides) under Sus scrofa (pig). RNAcentral describes it as "lncRNA (ENSSSCG00040028545.1, ENSSSCG00065062468.1, ENSSSCG00070017962.1)". The record is from RNAcentral. Lineage: Eukaryota; Metazoa; Chordata; Mammalia; Artiodactyla; Suidae.